CCGCCUUUUCUUGGCAGGCCUGGGUCUCCCAAUGCUCGGCUCUGUAAUGUCCGGAGGUACAGGAAUGCCCACCCAGUUUUCUGUCUUCAGUGCCAGCGACUUUGCCAUCUGCUGGUUCUAUCCUCAAGCACUGGGGCAAAA
RNAcentral lists this small nucleolar RNA (141 nucleotides) under Podarcis muralis (Common wall lizard). Its description in RNAcentral is "Small nucleolar RNA SNORA57 (ENSPMRG00000012341.1)". It matches the Rfam family "Small nucleolar RNA SNORA57". Rfam says of the family: U99 belongs to the H/ACA class of snoRNAs which are thought to guide the sites of modification of uridines to pseudouridines, the target for this family is unknown. The record is from Rfam by way of RNAcentral. Lineage: Eukaryota; Metazoa; Chordata; Lepidosauria; Squamata; Lacertidae.